This 253-nucleotide ribosomal RNA is filed under the name uncultured bacterium. Its description in RNAcentral is "partial 16S ribosomal RNA". It matches the Rfam family "Bacterial small subunit ribosomal RNA", at positions 524 to 776 of the family's 1533-position model. The record is from RNAcentral.
UACGGGGGGAGCAAGCGUUGUUCGGAUUUACUGGGCGUAAGGGCGCGUAGGCGGCCAGCGCAAGUCAGUUGUGAAAUCUCCGGGCUUAACUCGGAACGGUCAACUGAUACUGCGCGGCUAGAGUGCAGAAGGGGCAACUGGAAUUCUCGGUGUAGCGGUGAAAUGCGUAGAUAUCGAGAGGAACACCUGCGGCGAAGGCGGGUUGCUGGGCUGACACUGACGCUGAUGCGCGAAAGCCAGGGGAGCGAACGGG